This 433-nucleotide ribosomal RNA is filed under the name uncultured bacterium. Its description in RNAcentral is "partial 16S ribosomal RNA". It matches the Rfam family "Bacterial small subunit ribosomal RNA", at positions 29 to 507 of the family's 1533-position model. The record is from RNAcentral.
AACGAACGCUGGCGGCAUGCCUAACACAUGCAAGUCGAACGAGACCUUCGGGUCUAGUGGCGCACGGGUGCGUAACGCGUGGGAACCUGCCCUUAGGUUCGGAAUAACUCCCCGAAAGGGGUGCUAAUACCGGAUAAUGUCUUCGGACCAAAGAUUUAUCGCCUUUGGAUGGGCCCGCGUUGGAUUAGCUAGUUGGUAGGGUAAAAGCCUACCAAGGCGACGAUCCAUAGCUGCUCUGAGAGGAUGAUCAGCCACACUGGGACUGAGACACGGCCCAGACUCCUACGGGAGACAGCAGUGGGGAAUAUUGGACAAUGGGCGAAAGCCUGAUCCAGCAAUGCCGCGUGAGUGAUGAAGGCCUUAGGGUUGUAAAGCUCUUUUACCCGGGAUGAUAAUGACAGUACCGGGAGAAUAAGCUCCGGCUAACUCCGUG